RNAcentral lists this ribosomal RNA (253 nucleotides) under uncultured bacterium. RNAcentral's name for it is "partial 16S ribosomal RNA". It matches the Rfam family "Bacterial small subunit ribosomal RNA", at positions 524 to 776 of the family's 1533-position model. The record is from RNAcentral.
UACGUAGGUGACAAGCGUUGUCCGGAUUUACUGGGCGUAAAGAGCGCGCAGGCGGUCGUUCAAGUCGGGUGUGAAAGCCCCCGGCUCAACUGGGGAGGGUCACUCGAUACUGAUCGACUCGAAGGCAGGAGAGGGUAGUGGAAUUCCCGGUGUAGUGGUGAAAUGCGUAGAUAUCGGGAGGAACACCAGUGGCGAAGGCGACUACCUGGCCUGUUCUUGACGCUGAGGCGCGAAAGCUAGGGGAGCAAACGGG